CCUACGGGAGGCAGCAGUGAGGAAUAUUGGUCAAUGGACGAGAGUCUGAACCAGCCAAGUAGCGUGAAGGAUGACUGCCCUAUGGGUUGUAAACUUCUUUUAUAUGGGAAUAAAAUGUUCCACGUGUGGCAUUUUGUAUGUACCAUAUGAAUAAGGAUCGGCUAACUCCGUGCCAGCAGCCGCGGUAAUACGGAGGAUGCGAGCGUUAUCCGGAUUUAUUGGGGUUAAAGGGAGCGUAGGUGGGUUGUUAAGUCAGUUGUGAAAGCUUGGGGCUCAACCGUAAAAUUGCAGUUGAAACUGGCAGUCUUGAGUACAGUAGAGGUAGGCGGAAUUCGUGGUGUAGCGGUGAAAUGCUUAGAUAUCACGAAGAACUCCGAUUGCGAAGGCAGCUCACUGGACUGCAACUGACGCUGAGGCUCGAGAGCGUGGGUAUCAAACAGGAUUAGAUACCCUAGUAGUC
This 460-nucleotide ribosomal RNA is filed under the name uncultured bacterium. RNAcentral describes it as "partial 16S ribosomal RNA". It matches the Rfam family "Bacterial small subunit ribosomal RNA", at positions 338 to 795 of the family's 1533-position model. The record is from RNAcentral.